CGUGUAGGCGGGCAAUCAAGUCAGAUGUAAAAGGCGACGGCUUAACCGUAGUAUGUCAUCUGGUACUGGUUGUCUUGAGUUCGAGAGAGGGUGGUGGAAUUCCCGGUGUAGCGGUGAAAUGCGUAGAUAUCGGGAAGAACACCUGAAGCGAAGGCGGCCACCUGGAUCGACACUGACGCUGAGGCGCGAAAGCGUGGGUAGCAAACA
Molecule: ribosomal RNA, 207 nt
Filed under: uncultured bacterium
Lineage: Bacteria
Description: partial 16S ribosomal RNA
Rfam family: Bacterial small subunit ribosomal RNA
Source: RNAcentral